Molecule: ribosomal RNA, 497 nt
Filed under: uncultured bacterium
Lineage: Bacteria
Description: partial 16S ribosomal RNA
Rfam family: Bacterial small subunit ribosomal RNA
Source: RNAcentral
GAUGAACGCUGGCGGCGUGCCUAAUACAUGCAAGUCGAGCGAACAGACGAGGAGCUUGCUCCUCUGACGUUAGCGGCGGACGGGUGAGUAACACGUGGAUCACCUCCCUAUCAGACUGGGAUAACUUCGGGAAACCGGAGCUAAUACCGGAUAAUAUAUUGAACCGCAUGGUUCAAUAGUAAAAGUCGGUUUUGCUGUCACUUAUAGAUGGAUCCGCGCCGCAUUAGCUAGUUGGUAAGGUAACGGCUUACCAAGGCAACGAUGCGUAGCCGACCGGAGAGGGUGAUCGGCCACACUGGAGCUGAGACACGGUCCAGACUCCUACGGGAGGCAGCAGUAGGGAAUCGUACGCAAUGGGCGAAAGCCUUACGGAGCAACGCCGCGUGAGUGAUGAAGGUCUUCGGAUCGUAAAACUCUGUUAUUAGGGAAGAACAAAUGUGUAAGUAACUAUGCACGUCUUGACGGUACCGAAUCAGAAAGCCACGGCUAACUACGUG